Molecule: ribosomal RNA, 460 nt
Filed under: uncultured bacterium
Lineage: Bacteria
Description: partial 16S ribosomal RNA
Rfam family: Bacterial small subunit ribosomal RNA
Source: RNAcentral
CCUACGGGAGGCAGCAGUGAGGAAUAUUGGUCAAUGGCCGAGAGUCUGAACCAGCCAAGUAGCGUGAAGGAUGACUGCCCUACGGGUUGUAAACCUCUUUUAUAUGGGAAUAAAAUGUUCCACGUGUGGGAUUUUGUAUGUACCAUAUGAAUAAGGAUCGGCUAACUCCGUGCCAGCAGCCGCGGUAAUACGGAGGAUACGAGCGUUAUCCGGAUUUAUUGGGUUUAAAGGGAGGGUAGGCGGGUGGUUUAGUCAGGGUUGAAAGUUUGGGGCUCAAACGUAGAAUUGCAGUUGAAACUGGCAGUCUUGAGUACACGAGAGGUGGGCGGAAUUCGUGGUGUAGCGGUGAAAUGCUUAGAUAUCACGAAGAACUCCGAUUGCGAAGGCAGUACACUGGACUGCAACUGACACUGAGGCUCGAAAGUGUGGGUAUCAAACAGGAUUAGAUACCCUUGUAGUC